AUAGCAUCAAUAUGUUCGUGUCAUGCUCCGCAGCACUUGACAACGUGCUGAUUCUGCUAGCUCACCACGUGGCAGUGCAUAGCUGUUAACGCUCCCCAAGUAACGUUAUAAGGAUUUUCAAUUCAGAAACGUCAUCGUUUUAUACCCUUCUAGCAGCCGUAUCUAUCUGAUUUUUCUUCAACUCCUCGGUUUUUAGGUGGCGGCCAACCAAUUCCAGCCCAACUUCCCCAGAAAAUAACAAAAUAGUUAUCUUGGAGACAUAAAUUAUCCGUAGUAUCUUCUGGGUUAUCCCUGUAAAACAAACAGGUAAUCCCAUUCCUCUUCAGAUUAAGACCCACAGCCACAUAAUGUCUCUUGCGGCCAUUUCCACCCUCCUCCUCCUCCUCCUGCUCCUAUCAUCCCUUGCCGCCUCAUCUCCCGCCGCCAUCGCCGAUGAUACCCCGACGGCGUAUGAGGUCCUCGCGGGAUACAAUUUCCCAAUUGGUAUCCUCCCUAAGGGCGCGACAGGGUACGAAUUAGACACUAGCACGGGUAAAUUCCUCGCCUAUUUGAACGGUUCGUGCAGCUUCGCUCUGGAAGGUUCCUAUCAGCUGAAAUACAAAUCAACAAUCAGUGGUUACAUAAGCCAAAACAAGCUCACAAAGCUGACUGGCAUAAGCGUGAAAGUGCUUUUCUUGUGGUUGAAUAUUGUGGAGGUGGUUAGAAAUGGAGAUGAUCUUGGAUUUUCCGUUGGGAUUGCGUCGGCGAAUUUCCCUAUUGAUAAUUUCUACGUGUGCCCGCAGUGUGGGUGUGGAUUGAAUUGCAAUAAUGUGAAGGUAAGCAACCUUAGAACCAACCCCUUUGUUUCCUCAACUUAGGGUUUCCAAAUAGAACAGUUUCUUGGAGGAAUCUUUUAAUGCUAUGUGCUAAUUGGAUAUUCCAUGAUCCGAUGUUUCUGUCACUGGAUGGGGUAUGACUUGAUUUGGGUCUUGUUUGUUUACUGGAAAUUGUUGAAUCUCAAUAUUGAGAUAAAGAACAUUUACAUAUUUGGUUUAUGUGCAUAUUCGAAUUAUGUGUUUUUCUAGCUUAAUGCUUUUCCUGGAUGUUCUGUAUUGAAUUGCUAUAAUUGACUAGGUGGAGUAUACCACAGAAUCAAAAAA
RNAcentral lists this unclassified non-coding RNA (1139 nucleotides) under Hevea brasiliensis (rubber tree). Lineage: Eukaryota; Viridiplantae; Streptophyta; Magnoliopsida; Malpighiales; Euphorbiaceae. The record is from RNAcentral.